RNAcentral lists this ribosomal RNA (899 nucleotides) under uncultured bacterium. RNAcentral's name for it is "bacterial SSU rRNA". It matches the Rfam family "Bacterial small subunit ribosomal RNA", at positions 8 to 916 of the family's 1533-position model. The record is from RNAcentral.
AGAGUUUGAUCAUGGCUCAGGACGAACGCUGGCGGCGUGCUUAACACAUGCAAGUCACGGGGGUCCCGCAAGGGAUAACCGGCGAACGGGUGCGUAACACGUGAGCAACCUGCCUUUGUGUGGGGGAUAGCCGGGCUAACGCCCGGGUAAUACCGCAUACGGUCAUUUGGGGGAGUCCCUAGAUGAAGAAACCUCCGGGGCACAAAGAGGGGCUCGCGGCCUAUCAGCUAGUUGGCGGGGUAAUGGCCCACCAAGGCGACGACGGGUAGCUGGUCUGAGAGGAUGGCCAGCCACAUUGGGACUGAGAGACGGCCCAGACUCCUACGGGAGGCAGCAGUGGGGAAUCUUGCGCAAUGGCCGAAAGGCUGACGCAGCGACGCUGCGUGUGGGAGGACGCCUUUCGGGGUGUAAACCACUGUUGCCCGGGACGAACAUCCACUUUCGAGUGGACUGACGGUACCGAGUGAGGAAGCACCGGCUAACUCCGUGCCAGCAGCCGCGGUAAUACGGAGGGUGCGAGCGUUGUCCGGAAUCAUUGGGCGUAAAGGGCGCGUAGGUGGCCUGGUCAGUUCGUGGUGAAAGCGCGGGGCUCAACCCCGCGUCGGCCAUGAAUACUGCUAGGCUUGAGCACUGUAGAGGCAGGCGGAAUUCCGGGUGUAGCGGUGGAAUGCGUAGAGAUCCGGAAGAACACCGGUGGCGAAGGCGGCCUGCUGGGCAGUAGCUGACACUGAGGCGCGACAGCGUGGGGAGCAAACAGGAUUAGAUACCCUGGUAGUCCACGCCGUAAACGAUGGGCACUAGGCGCUUGGGGGAGCGACCCCCCGAGGGCCGGCGCUAACGCAUUAAGUGCCCCGCCUGGGGAGUACGGCCGCAAGGCUGAAACUCAAAGGAAUUGACGG